This 253-nucleotide ribosomal RNA is filed under the name uncultured bacterium. RNAcentral describes it as "partial 16S ribosomal RNA". It matches the Rfam family "Bacterial small subunit ribosomal RNA", at positions 524 to 776 of the family's 1533-position model. The record is from RNAcentral.
UACGGAGGGUGCAAGCAUUGAUCGGAAUUACUGGGCGUAAAGGGCGCGUAGGCGGUUUGGAAAGUCAGGUGUGAAAUUCCGGGGCUCAACUCCGGAGCUGCACUUGAAACUUCCAGACUAGAGUACAGUUAGGGAAAACGGAAUUCCACGUGUAGCGGUGAAAUGCGUAGAUAUGUGGAAGAACACCAGUGGUGAAGACGGUUUUCUGGGCUGAAACUGACGCUGAGGCGCGAAAGCAAGGGGAGCAAACAGG